AAACGACUGCUAAGACUGGAUAGGAGACAAGAAGGCAUCUUCUUGUUUUUAAAAGACCUAGCAAUAGGUAUGCUUAGGGAGGAGCUUGCGUCACAUUAGUUAGUUGGUGGGGUAAAGGCCUACCAAGACUAUGAUGUGUAGCCGGGCUGAGAGGUUGAACGGCCACAUUGGGACUGAGACACGGCCCAAACUCCUACGGGAGGCAGCAGUAGGGAAUUUUCGGCAAUGGAGGAAACUCUGACCGAGCAACGCCGCGUGAACGAUGAAGUAUUUCGGUACGUAAAGUUCUUUUAUUAGGGAAGAAUAAAUGAUGGAAAAAUCAUUCUGACGGUACCUAAUGAAUAAGCCCCGGCUAACUAUGUGCCAGCAGCCGCAGUAAUACAUAGGGGGCAAGCGUUAUCCGGAAUUAUUGGGCGUAAAGGGUGCGUAGGCGGUUAAAUAAGUUUAUGGUCUAAGUGCAAUGCUCAACAUUGUGAUGCUAUAAAAACUGUUUAGCUAGAGUAAGAUAGAGGCAAGUGGAAUUCCAUGUGUAGUGGUAAAAUGCGUAAAUAUAUGGAGGAACACCAGUAGCGAAGGCGGCUUGCUGGGUCUUUACUGACGCUGAGGCACGAAAGCGUGGGGAGCAAACAGGAUUAGAUACCCUGGUAGUCCACGCCGUAAACGAUGAGUACUAAACGUUGGGUAAAACCAGUGUUGAAGUUAACACAUUAAGUACUCCGCCUGAGUAGUACGUACGCAAGUAUGAAACUUAAAGGAAUUGACGGGACUCCGCACAAGCGGUGGAUCAUGUUGUUUAAUUCGAAGGUACCCGAAAAACCUUACCAGGUCUUGACAUGCUUCUGCAAAGCUGUAGAAACACAGUGGAGGUUAUCAGUUGCACAGGUGGUGCAUGGUUGUCGUCAGCUCGUGUCGUGAGAUGUUGGGUUAAGUCCCGCAACGAGCGCAACCCUUAUUGUUAGUUACCAGCACGUAAUGGUGGGGACUUUAGCAAGACUGCCAGUGAUAAAUUGGAGGAAGGUGGGGACGACGUCAAAUCAUCAUGCCCCUUAUGACCUGGGCUACAAACGUGAUACAAUGGCUGUUACAAAGGGUAGCUGAAGCGCAAGUUUUUGGCGAAUCUCAAAAAAACAGUCUCAGUUCGGAUUGAAGUCUGCAACUCGACUUCAUGAAGUUGGAAUCGCUAGUAAUCGCGAAUCAGCAUGUCGCGGUGAAUACGUUCUCGGGGUUUGUACACACCGCCCGUCAAUCA
Molecule: ribosomal RNA, 1249 nt
Filed under: 'Populus nigra' phytoplasma
Lineage: Bacteria; Bacillati; Mycoplasmatota; Mollicutes; Acholeplasmatales; Acholeplasmataceae
Description: bacterial SSU rRNA
Rfam family: Bacterial small subunit ribosomal RNA
Source: RNAcentral